RNAcentral lists this ribosomal RNA (468 nucleotides) under uncultured bacterium. RNAcentral describes it as "partial 16S ribosomal RNA". It matches the Rfam family "Bacterial small subunit ribosomal RNA", at positions 28 to 507 of the family's 1533-position model. The record is from RNAcentral.
GACGAACGCUGGCGGCGUGCUUAACACAUGCAAGUCGAACGGAAAGGCCCUGCUUUUGUGGGGUGCUCGAGUGGCGAACGGGUGAGUAACACGUGAGUAACCUGCCCUUGACUUUGGGAUAACUUCAGGAAACUGGGGCUAAUACCGGAUAGGAGCUCCUGCUGCAUGGUGGGGGUUGGAAAGUUUCGGCGGUUGGGGAUGGACUCGCGGCUUAUCAGCUUGUUGGUGGGGUAGUGGCUUACCAAGGCUUUGACGGGUAGCCGGCCUGAGAGGGUGACCGGCCACAUUUGGACUGAGAUACCGCCCAGAAUCCUAAGGGAGGCAGGAGUGGGGAAUAAUGCAACAUGGGCGGAAGCCUGAUGCAGCAACGCCGCGGGCGGGAUGACGGCCUUCGGGUUGUAAACCGGUUUCGGCUGUGACGAAGCGUGAGGGACGGGAAUGGGUAAAGAAGCACCGGCUAACUAAGUG